ACUUAAAUAGUUUAAAUAAAAUAUUAAUUUGUGGUAUUAAUGAUAUCUAUGUAUCUACAUAUAUUUUAAGUU
RNAcentral lists this transfer RNA (72 nucleotides) under Brachycentrus subnubilus. RNAcentral describes it as "tRNA-His". The record is from RNAcentral. Lineage: Eukaryota; Metazoa; Arthropoda; Insecta; Trichoptera; Brachycentridae.